UUUGUCCCAAGGUCAUAGCUAUAGGCUGACCAGUUAGCUAAUAUUCUCUCUCUUUGAAAGAGAAUCUGUAAAAUACCUCCAUUGGUAACAAGAAAACAACACACAAUCAAAACAAAGGAAGUGCUUCCCAAACACAAUCUUCUUCAAGGGAAGAGACCAGUACGGAGUCUCUACAAGUUGUUUCUUCUAUCAACGGUACCACGAAUGGCCCCAAAGGCCCAAAUGGGAUUCAACAUGGAGUCAGUGCUGUUACAAUAAGAUCUUCUAGUCAAGAAAAGUACUUGCAGCAGAGUCGGGGUGAUCAUGUAUUUUAGCAUUUAUUCAAGCCCAGGAUUGAGAAUAAAAGUAAGUAUUAUUAAAGUUAGUACUAAGAAAAGAGGUAAAAAAUCAUAAUUUUUGGUCACUUUGAUUAAAUUUACAAUAGAGAAAUAAAUAAUGUCAUUCAUUUAAUUAAUAUUGAUUUUCACUGCAUGCUAAUGCAUCUUAAGAAAAAAAUACACUAUAGACCUAUCUUAGAAUGGUCAUGUAUAUAAACAAUUUUAUUUUUGUCAUGAUUUCCAACAUAAAAUGAAUGCAACCUUAAUUCAAAAUCCUAUUCCUUCACCAUAUUUUUUAUUCCACUUAUUUUCAUGGAGUUCUUGUCACUUUUUAUCUUACAAUUAUCUUUAAAUUUAUUUUUAAUUUUAAAUUUAUUUAAAUUUAUUAAAUUUUGAAUUUAUUUUUAUAUAUAAGUUUACAGUAGUGUCUCCAUAUCACUAUACUAUAUUGAAUAAUACAUGAAGUCAUUG
RNAcentral lists this long non-coding RNA (788 nucleotides) under Macaca mulatta (Rhesus monkey). Its description in RNAcentral is "lncRNA (ENSMMUG00000048609.2)". Lineage: Eukaryota; Metazoa; Chordata; Mammalia; Primates; Cercopithecidae. The record is from RNAcentral.